RNAcentral lists this antisense RNA (502 nucleotides) under Actinopolyspora biskrensis. Its description in RNAcentral is "sRNA 350". It matches the Rfam family "Saccharopolyspora sRNA 350". Lineage: Bacteria; Bacillati; Actinomycetota; Actinomycetes; Actinopolysporales; Actinopolysporaceae. The record is from RNAcentral.
GUGACGGGCCAGGUCUCCCGGCCGCCGGUGAGGACGUGCUCGCCGAAGUACUCGCCGUCGGCGAGCACGUCCCGCGAGGUCUCGUCCCCGUAGGGCCCCGGGGUCCGGGUGUUGACCUUGCCGUGGGCCAGCAGCAUCAGCUCAUCGGCGGGCUGGCCCGCGGUGGUGAUGCUCUCCCCCGCCGCGUAGUGGUGCUGGGUGAACCUGUCGGCCAGCGCGGUCAGCACCGUCUCGUCGUCGAGAUCGCGCAGGGAGGCGAUCUCGCGGAGUUCCGGCGGCAGCACGCGAACCUGAUCGCCGGUGUUGGAGAACGUCAGACGCCCGUCGCCGAGCUCGUAGGUCAGCCUGCGGUUGACCCGGUAGGAACCGCUGGUGGUUUCGGUCCAGGGCAGCAUGCGCAGCAGCCACCGCGGGCUGAUCGACUGCAUCUGCGGCGGCGUCUUCGUCGUCGUCGCCAGAUUGCGUGCUGCCGCGGUCCCCAGGCUGAGUUGCUGCUGGGCGU